Molecule: ribosomal RNA, 305 nt
Filed under: uncultured bacterium
Lineage: Bacteria
Description: bacterial SSU rRNA
Rfam family: Bacterial small subunit ribosomal RNA
Source: RNAcentral
GAGGGCCUACGGGGGGCAGCAGUGGGGAAUAUUGGGCAAUGGGCGCAAGCCUGACCCAGCAACGCCGCGUGAAGGAAGAAGGCUUUCGGGUUGUAAACUUCUUUUCUCAGGGACGAAGAAAGUGACGGUACCUGAGGAAUAAGCCACGGCUAACUACGUGCCAGCAGCCGCGGUAAUACGUAGGUGGCAAGCGUUAUCCGGAUUUAUUGGGUUUAAAGGGUGCGCAGGCGGCGUGUCAAGUCAGCGGUAAAAUGUCGGGGCUCAACCCCGGCCGGCCGUUGAAACUGGCGUGCUCGAGUUGGAGG